CACCGCGGUUAUACGAGAGACCCAAAUUGACAGUACCCGGCAUAAAGCGUGGUUAAGAAAAAAGCACAAUAAGGUCGAACUCUUUCAAGGCUGUUAUACGCAACCGAAAGAAAGAAGAUCAACAACGAAAGUGACCUUAACCAAAUCUGAACCCACGAAAGCUAGGAAA
Molecule: ribosomal RNA, 169 nt
Filed under: Nuchequula blochii (twoblotch ponyfish)
Lineage: Eukaryota; Metazoa; Chordata; Actinopteri; Chaetodontiformes; Leiognathidae
Description: partial 12S rRNA
Source: RNAcentral